GAAGGAAGGAAGAAAGAAAGGAAGUGGUGGCUUGGAGCAGAUAAUACCUGGAUGCCACGCCCCCGGCAACCCUUGGACCUCACCGCCCCGUUGAAGAGGCGUCAUGCCCCAUGCUAGAUGGAAAAAAGUCAGGCUCUGAGACACCAGCAAUUUCCCCGGGCCACUGGGCUUCCAACCCAGAGUCUACAAGAUGAGCACAGCCCAACAUGGAGAAGGGUCUAGGACAGCAGUUGAAGCUUGGAGAUCAGCUGAGCCUGCGAUUUGGGACAGCAGACAGUUCCUAGUGCUCAAGGGGGACCGGGAGGCAGAGGAAUUGGGUCAGCUCCUGGUCCAGCCUCCUAUAAGGCCUGGCCAGUGAGUAAUUUUGCCUCUGUUUCCAUCCUCAGGGGGGUGAGGUGGAAGGGAGCCAUCAUUCAGGGCAGCGGGGAGGACUGACUCUGUUUUCUGUGAACUUUCAGUUCCUAUCUUCUGCCUAUUGUUUUCUAUUCAGUUGUUGGUCUUACUUUCUCAAAUUUUGGGAGUUCUUUCUAUGUGUGGAAAGUCAGCCUUUGUGAUUCUGUGGUCUGAGGUGCACAUAUUGUCUAGUCUGUCAUUUGUCUCCUGAUGUUGGUUAUGUGUUGUGUGUGUGUCUGUGUGUGUGUUUGAGUGUAGUCAGGGUUAUCUAUCAUCCUUGUGAUGCUUGUGGCUUCGGGGUUGGAGUUAGGGCCGCCUUCCCCAACGUGAUCCCUGCUUCUCUUGGUUCUUGCAAAGUCUGUCUGUUUACCCUGGGGCUGUCCAUGCCCUGGCUUUGAUAGUGUGAAGUGUGGAACCAGUUUCAUCUUCUUCCAAAGGCUGCUCCUUGGCCCCAAUGCUAUUUGUUAAAUGGCCCAACUUGCUCCCCUGGACCCUUUGUCCUGGGGUCCAUCCCUGGGCCCUCCUCUCCCUGGGUAUGUGCUGGCCUCUGUGUCCAGAAGGCAAAAGGACCCAUGGACUCACCUGAGCAGGGGAUUUUUCACAGGCAACCACCUUGCACACUUCCUAUAUGGUUUUUUAAUUCUUAAUUUUUAAAAUUAUUUUUAUUUUUAUUAUUAUUUUUUUUGAGACAGGCUCUUGCUCUGUCGCCCAGACUGGAGUGCAGUCGUGCAAUCCCGGCUCACUGCAACCUCCACCUCUUGGGUUCAAGCAAUUCUGCCUCAGCCUCCUGAGUAGCUGGGAUUACAGGCAAGCACCACCAUGCCUGGCUAAUUUUGUGUGUGUGUGUGUGUGUGUGUUUUGUUUUGUUUUUUGUUUUGUUUUUUUCUAGUUGAGACAGGGUUUCACCAUGUUGGCCAGAAUGAUCUUGAACUCCUGACCUCAAGUGAUCCAUCUGCCUCGGGCUCCCAACGUGCUGGGAUUACAGGUGUGAGCCACUGCACCUGGUCCCUGGAUUGUUUUAUAAAGUGAUCUCUGAGUAGCUUAUAAACCAUGAUGCUUAACCCCUGUGAUUGUCAGGCCCUACUCCAGGAAGCAUCUGGAAACCUGAGCACCAUCUUUUGCCUUCACCAGUGUUGUUGGGUCAAUAAAGACCAUGGUGACUCCGGGGUGCUGUGUCUCUCGGACACAGUUCUUGUUGUUCUAAACCAAGUGCCUAACUCCAGAGACGCUGCCAGGAUUCUAAGGCAAGGUGAGGUCUUGUCUUCGGAAGGAUCUUUCAGGGAAACCCUCACCCCACAGGGUGCUGUGUGACCUCCGUCUUACAGAAAUAGACACGGGGAGAUUACGCAGCAGCCCAGGCCCACUGAUGAGCCGCAGCUCUGGGUGCAAACCUGGGACUGCCGAGCCUGGGCGCUGCUCUUUCCUGCCUUCAACCGGCCUGCUGGCACCCACGGUGCGUCCUCCAGUUGGUGAGUCACCGGCCAUUUAUUCAUCACGCAGCAGGCAGUGGAAGGUGCCAGAAUGGCGUGCCCUACGAAGCUCUGUGCUGGUGAGUCACUGCUGCCAGCAUGGAGUAGGGCGGCGGAGGGAGGCGAGGCUCUGGCCAGGGAAGGCCGAGCCAGCAGGCGGCAUCACUUCCGCCUCUGCCCUCUCAGGGGAGGAUGGCUGAUGUGGAAGCUGAGCCUUUCCUCUGUGCGCUCUCUAUCCCUGUGCCCCACCACACACACACAUGUGCACACACACACAUGCAUGCAUACAGCACGCACGCCAGCUAAUACCGAGCACCCCACCAGAGGCCGAGCAGCUGCGGGUUAACAAGCGGGCCUGGCAGACUCGCUUUGCUUCCUCUGGUUUAAUCUCCUCCCUGGAAAACGGGAGUGGUAAGCCCACCCUGCCUGUUUCCCGGCAGACUUCUGCUCCCAUGUCCCACGGCUCCAGUCCCCCAGCCUGGCAGGAGGAACAAAGCUCGGGCAUGAAGUCACCCAGACCUGGGCUCGAACCCUGCCUCCACCACGCACAGCCUACUCUGGGCCGCAGUUUCCCCACCCGACACCCGAGGAUACCAACGCUGGUGUCACAGUGAGGGGGCUGUGCUGGGGAAGCAUGGGUCCAGUGCCAGCAGACGCCGCUCCCCAUUCAUGGAAGUGGCAGCCACGGCUCUUGCGACGGCUCCCCCAGGCUGGCGGGGGCACCGGGCAUCACAUCAGAUGACUUCAGGGGUCUCUUUGCUCCCUUUACCUGGAAAAGGCCUCAAAGUAGGACUCUUCCUGGCCUCAAGGCAAAGCACCCUCUGGCCGGGCGCAAACCUCCCUCUCCUGUGCUCGUGCAGUCCCUCCCUCCAGGGGCUCCCACAGCCCUUUGCUCUGCCUCUGAGGCAUUGUCAUCCCCACUCGGCAAGUAGAGACAUCGCGGCCCGGAGAGACUAGUUAACACCUGCCCAAGUUAGCACGGUAAGGGAGAGAUGGGCCUGAGACGGAACCCAAGUCCCCUGACACCCAGCCUCAGGCUUUUUCCAAGAGCCAUGUUUGGGGAAAUUGGCGUGAUAUCGAGCAACUGCCUUCGAAUGGGCCAAAGUUUUCAGAAUUGCUGGGGGACCGGAGCCCACUCCUCCGGAGGCCGCUUUCUUCCUUCCCGAGUCAGACUCAGGAGGCUGGGCUGUAGCAACACUGGAGGUUCCAGCAGCUGACUCUGUGAAAAGAAACAGCAAUUUCCUUAUUGAUCUUCUCCUUCCCGCUACAGUCUGGAAAAUAAGGUCGCCAAGAAUGAUGUUGUUGCUGCGUGUCUCUCGUUGUUUCAGUUUCGCUUAUUGAAUUGUUAUCCCUGGAGGACCCCCAGCCUCACAGCCACUACUUCACCCCCAAACAGCUUCCUGUUUCAAGGACAUCAGUGGCUCAUCCAGAUUCCACGAAAAGUGCCUUCUCUGGCUAGUGCCCUCCAGCACUGACCCCUCCGCUGUCCCCAGCACAGCACAGCCUGAAAGGUGGCCAGCUGUCCGUCCACCAGCAUCGCGAUUCCCCAGCUUCCAGCCUCCUCACUUCUGUAAUUAGCAGGACGGGCCCUCCUAUCAGCCCCCAGGCUGUUUGUCUCGCUCAGGCUGGCUCCUGUUGUCCCUGUUAAAUUGGCUGUGGCAGGCCAUAAUAAAGAAGAAAAACUGGCUGCAUCAGGUCACUCCAAGAAGCUGACAUUAGCUCCAGAAGGGCUGGGAAAGGAGAGAUUCAAUUAAACUUUUACUGCGGCCCGUCGGCUCCUGGCCUGGCCUGUGAAUUCUGGAGCUGGGCUGAGGUUUGGAGAAGACUCACAGCCAGAGGAGCUUCCCCGGGGUCCCUCCUACCAGGAGACUGUCAGUCUGCACUAGUCCCAGGCAGGCGGGGGGAGCGUGGCCCUGUGGGGUUACCCUGCAGCCCAACUCUGCAGAAGGUUAAUGAUCGCACAGCUCCAUGCCAAAGGCUCAAACCAGACACCCCAGCCUCAAGGGGCUCUGAGCCUACUGCAGAAGACAGAGACAGGGACAGACAAUUCCAGAAGAUGUUCCUGAGUCUCCAGUUCUUGGAUAUGAAACCAGCAGCUAAUUUAGCCCACUCAAGUGCAAUAAAAUCACAGACAAAUGCGGCGGCCUCUUCGGGCCCUUACCGAUUCUUUAUAUACAGGCUGAGACUAAUCUAAAAGGAGCCGGCUCCUGAGUGUCUGUUGUGCCCUGCAGAAGACUCCAGGCUAGACGGGAGUCCCUACGGUCCUGCUGGCCUCUGCUCUCCUCUGGGCCCGCCCCAUGCCUGCACACGAAGGUUCUCAGUCUGUGUGUGUUGAAUACACGAAGGACGGUGCACACCUCCCACCGUGAAACAUUGGGAAAGCAUGCAAGGCAGGGAUGGGCCUUCAGAAGCAAACUGAGGUCUGGAGGCAGCCAGUGCCCGGCUUCUGGCACCUUCCAGUCAUCGUUCCACUUCAACAACCAUUUCCAGAGCUCCUUGGGGGCGCGCAGCCAGCUGAGCUGGUGGGACUGUGAAGAGGUGGCUCGCCCUCCCUCGAGGCAGGGCCUGGCCUGGUUCUGGCUCUUGUCCUCACCUGGACGCUCUGUUUUUGGAAUGAGGGCCACUCCAUGUGCCCUGGACAUUCGGCUGCGAUCCUCUGAGGCACGGAAUGGAUUCUCCUUCCUGCUUCCCAGAACUGAGACUUGGGCGAUGAUGUAAAAGGAGGAGAAGCACCCGGGAAGCCCCGAAUUCCUGACACAGGAAACCUCUGGGGGACAGGGAGGCCGGCCCUGAAACCCUCUUGUCUUUUGAAAUCGUCCACAGCCCCUCAUCAGGGACAAGGAGGAGGAAGCCAGCACCUCCUUUCUGCUCGCCAACCCCCAGCCAGGCCCUGCAGACUCUCCCUCCCAUGUCUAGGCAGUCUGAGAAGAAGCAAUUUGGUGCAUGUGAAUUAUUCAGAGCAGUCAAAGUGAGAGGAAGGACUGAGGCAACCCAUCUAGAAACAGCCAGAAAAGAGAUCCCAGCUCGAAACCACUCAUAAGGUUCAUCUUGAAAACAAAUUAGCGACAGGAUUCUGGAUAACCCUGUGCUCUUCUGCAGGCUUUUCAAUUACUGGCCUGCUGACGUUCACCUCUGGCAACCCCCCUUCAUCACUGACUCCAGAGAGCAAAGGUCCUUUGGACUCGCUCAUGGUCCUGUCCCAGCCACACUUCCGGCCAGCUCAGCGCAGGUGCGCAGUAGCUCCCUGUGGAGGGCAGGAAGUUGUGUCUCUAAUGAUCUCACAGGAGCACCUCCUAUGUGCCUCAACACUGGUCACAGCCUGUGCCCCUGACCCCAAGCCAGGGGAAUGCCCAAGCCAGGGCUCUCCACCACCCUGCUCAGGCCCCAUCAUGAAGCGCAUCGCAUGCCUGGUUGGGACUGUGCACAUCCCUUUAUUGUAAAAUUAUCCCAAAUUUGGUGCUGCUGGCUUGGGGCCAUCUCCAAAGACACUGCACGUUUAGCCUUAGCUGUGAAGGUUCAUGUUCACCCCUAGACAGGACACUUCCUGUGGAAAAAGUGGGGGUAGAGCAAUUGUGCAGAUAAUAGGCAAAGCAGGCAAAGACCUCAGGAGUCUAGAAUUUUCCCCUGCAGGCAAGGCGGGGUGUGGGCACGGGGCCUGGGGCCGGGCAGCACCGGACGUCAAGGUAUUGCCGAGAACGAGAUGCACCAUCAUGAUGGGGAGAAUCUUUUCCGGCUUCUCAUCAUCACACAAGCGUGAGAGGGUGCCGCAGGGAUCCAGGCAUCUCCAUCUGUGAGCCUCCAGGGUCUCUGCAGAAGAGGAAGGCUCCACCCACACUUCCUUGGCUAGAGUCAGUCAUGCGGCCACAGCCUAGUGCAAGGGAGGCUGGGAGGUGUGGUUUCAGGAUACCAGUGAAGCAGGAAAUGAGAAGAAAAGGGGACCUGUUUCUGACAUUAUUAAAAUAAAAAAUGCAUCUCUGCAUACCUCUCAGGCCACAUCUGGGAAAGGCUGACUUUUCUGAGAGGCCAGCAUGCAGUGCUGGGUGACCUUGAGCAGGUGACUUACCCACUCUGAGCUCAAGUCUUUGCCACACAUAUGGAGAGGCUCACUGGAGUUUUCUAGCUGGGAAGAUUCGACGCACAGCCCACCUAGCACUUGGCCCAGGGCAGAGCCCGCUGCGGCUCGUUCCGCCCCCACCCCCACAAACCGUGUUGCAGACACCAAG
RNAcentral lists this long non-coding RNA (6085 nucleotides) under Homo sapiens (human). RNAcentral describes it as "HSALNT0156613". Lineage: Eukaryota; Metazoa; Chordata; Mammalia; Primates; Hominidae. The record is from RNAcentral.